GGAGGGUACAGCUCAGUGGUAGAGCGCAUGUUUAGCCUGCAUGAGGUCCUGGGUUCCAUCCCCAGCACCUCCA
Molecule: non-coding RNA, 73 nt
Organism: Camelus ferus (Wild Bactrian camel)
Lineage: Eukaryota; Metazoa; Chordata; Mammalia; Artiodactyla; Camelidae
Source: Rfam